AUCGAACGCUGGCGGCAUGCCUUACACAUGCAAGUCGAACGGUAACAGGUCUUCGGAUGCUGACGAGUGGCGAACGGGUGAGUAAUACAUCGGAACGUGCCCGAUCGUGAGGGAUAACGAGGCGAAAGCUUUGCUAAUACCGCAUACGAUCUACGGAUGAAAGCGGGGGAUCUUCGGACCUCGCGCGGACGGAGCGGCCGAUGGCAGAUUAGAUAGUUGGUGGGAUAAAAGCUUACCAAGCCGACGAUCUGUAGCUGGUCUGAGAGGAUGAUCAGCCACACUGGGACUGAGACACGGCCCAGACUCCUACGGGAGGCAGCAGUGGGGAAUUUUGGACAAUGGGCGAAAGCCUGAUCCAGCCAUGCCGCGUGCAGGAUGAAGGCCUUCGGGUUGUAAACUGCUUUUGUACGGAACGAAAAGCCUCUUUCUAAUAAAGAGAGGUCAUGACGGUACCGUAAGAAUAAGCACCGGCUAACUACGUG
RNAcentral lists this ribosomal RNA (482 nucleotides) under uncultured bacterium. Its description in RNAcentral is "partial 16S ribosomal RNA". It matches the Rfam family "Bacterial small subunit ribosomal RNA", at positions 30 to 507 of the family's 1533-position model. The record is from RNAcentral.